AGUGAACGCUGGCGGCGUGCUUAACACAUGCAAGUCGAACGAGAACGGGUUAAAGCUUGCUUUAACUGUCAGCUAAGUGGCGCACGGGUGAGUAAUAUAUAGGUAACAUGCCUUCGAGAAGGGGAUAACGUCUGGAAACGAACGCUAAUACCCUAUAUGCCUUUAAGUCUUAAGACUGCAAGGGAAAUAUUUAUAGCUCGAAGAUUGGCCUGUACAGUAUCAGUUAGUUGGUGAGGUAAUGGCUCACCAAGACAAUGACGCUUAACUGGUUUGAGAGGAUGAUCAGUCACACUGGAACUGAGACACGGUCCAGACUCCUACGGGAGGCAGCAGUGGGGAAUAUUGCACAAUGGACGAAAGUCUGAUGCAGCAACGCCGCGUGGAGGAUGACACAUUUCGGUGCGUAAACUCCUUUUAUAUAGGAAGAUAAUGACGGUACUAUAUGAAUAAGCACCGGCUAACUCCGUGCCAGCAGCCGCGGUAAUACGGAGGGUGCAAGCGUUACUCGGAAUCACUGGGCGUAAAGAGAAUGUAGGCGGAUAGAUAAGUUUGAAGUGAAAUCCAAUGGCUCAACCAUUGAACUGCUUUGAAAACUGUUUAUCUAGAAUAUGGGAGAGGUAGAUGGAAUUUCUGGUGUAGGGGUAAAAUCCGUAGAGAUCAGAAGGAAUACCGAUUGCGAAGGCGAUCUACUGGAACAUUAUUGACGCUGAGAUUCGAAAGCGUGGGGAGCAAACAGG
RNAcentral lists this ribosomal RNA (737 nucleotides) under uncultured bacterium. RNAcentral's name for it is "bacterial SSU rRNA". It matches the Rfam family "Bacterial small subunit ribosomal RNA", at positions 28 to 776 of the family's 1533-position model. The record is from RNAcentral.